This 76-nucleotide transfer RNA is filed under the name Gammaproteobacteria bacterium. RNAcentral's name for it is "tRNA-Ala". It matches the Rfam family "tRNA". From Rfam's summary of the family: Transfer RNA (tRNA) molecules are approximately 80 nucleotides in length. Their secondary structure includes four short double-helical elements and three loops (D, anti-codon, and T loops). RNAcentral also lists the same sequence under 2 other names. Lineage: Bacteria; Pseudomonadati; Pseudomonadota; Gammaproteobacteria. The record is from RNAcentral.
GGGGCUAUAGCUCAGUUGGGAGAGCGCUACAAUGGCAUUGUAGAGGUCGGCGGUUCGACCCCGCCUAGCUCCACCA